Long non-coding RNA from Panicum virgatum (switchgrass), 847 nucleotides. RefSeq lists it as uncharacterized. The transcript is spliced from 2 exons. The record is from RefSeq and is a predicted model, not a curated record. Lineage: Eukaryota; Viridiplantae; Streptophyta; Magnoliopsida; Poales; Poaceae.
GGUAGUUCGGGUACCGUGGUCCGAUACCCGAAUUAACCAUAAUGAUUUCGGGUACCGUGGGUUGGAACCCGAAUUAGUGUUCGAGUUUUUCGGGUUCGGGCUCAGGUUUUUUGGGUACGGGUUUUGGAUUUCGGGUAUUUUGCCCACCCAUAAUUGGGAUUCCAUUUUUCCAACUGACAUCCGAGCCUCACCUGUCAUUCUCCAGUGUGACUCCGCGCAUAGCGUGCCCUGCGCCGCCACGUCCGGGCGUCCGCGUGCGCGCCGCCGCGCUGCCAUGCCCCACCACCGUCAGCUCCUGCCCGCCCCACUGCCGCCGUCCGGUGGAGCUUGCCCUGCUCCCGCCCGCGUCGCCGGCGCCGAUCCACGGAAGCCUCCCAACCACUGCCGCCUCCCCCACCUCACUCGCUGUUGCGCCCGACGACCAAGACCGCCGCCGCUUCCUCCGCUUCUCGGCGUCGCCUCCCCGCCCUCGUCGCCGGAGGAGGAGCCCACACCACCAGCGCCCAGGCACCAAGGCGUAAACAAACUCUUGGCUACCGGUACUACAAGCAUGGAUGGCCAAGAGAUUCUUAGUUGUAUACAGACAUUAGCAUUCCUUCCAUUAUGCUAUGAGAGGCCUUCCCGCUGAAAGACCUCAAGCACCCAAGGAGGAAGAGGUUGCAAAAAAAAAAAAAACUAGCAAAGAAGACUAUGUAAAUAUUAGAUGUAGCACUUGGAUGGUACUUUAUCCAGUACUUGGAUGCUCACAUCAUUUUGUAACACUUGGAUGGUGCCUGUUGCUGCAUUGUUAAUUCUGAAUGUUACUGAAUUUCUGUUAGUUGACAAUACAUCAAUGAAACUCUGUUUC